This 66-nucleotide transfer RNA is filed under the name Diaphorina citri (Asian citrus psyllid). It matches the Rfam family "tRNA". Rfam says of the family: Transfer RNA (tRNA) molecules are approximately 80 nucleotides in length. Their secondary structure includes four short double-helical elements and three loops (D, anti-codon, and T loops). Further hydrogen bonds mediate the characteristic L-shaped molecular structure. tRNAs have two regions of fundamental functional importance: the anti-codon, which is responsible for specific mRNA codon recognition, and the 3' end, to which the tRNAs corresponding amino acid is attached (by aminoacyl-tRNA synthetases). tRNAs cope with the degeneracy of the genetic code in two manners: having more than one tRNA (with a specific anti-codon) for a particular amino acid; and 'wobble' base-pairing, i.e. permitting non-standard base-pairing at the 3rd anti-codon position. The record is from Rfam by way of RNAcentral. Lineage: Eukaryota; Metazoa; Arthropoda; Insecta; Hemiptera; Psyllidae.
UAGUUAGCUUAGUUGGUAGUGCGUCUGCCUUGUAAGCGCUAGGCCGCGGGUUCGAUUCCCGCACUA